UAGGGAAUCUUCCGCAAUGGACGAAAGUCUGACGGAGCAACGCCGCGUGAGUGAAGAAGGAUUUCGGUUCGUAAAACUCUGUUGUUAGGGAAGAAAAAAUGUAUAGUAACUAUAUACAAAAGAGACGGUACCUAACCAGAAAGCCACGGCUAACUACGUGCCAGCAGCCGCGGUAAUACGUAGGUGGCAAGCGUUGUCCGGAAUUAUUGGGCGUAAAGCGCGCGCAGGUGGUUUAGAAAGUCUGAUGUGAAAGCCCACGGCUCAACCGUGGAGGGUCAUUGGAAACUAAUAAACUUGAGUGCAGGAGAGAAAAGUGGAAUUCCUAGUGUAGCGGUGAAAUGCGUAGAGAUUAGGAGGAACACCGGUGGCGAAAGCGGCUUUUUGGCCUGCAACUGACACUGAGGCGCAAAAGCGUGGGGAGCAAACAGG
This 429-nucleotide ribosomal RNA is filed under the name Verrucomicrobiota bacterium. RNAcentral's name for it is "Verrucomicrobia bacterium partial 16S ribosomal RNA". It matches the Rfam family "Bacterial small subunit ribosomal RNA", at positions 355 to 776 of the family's 1533-position model. Lineage: Bacteria; Pseudomonadati; Verrucomicrobiota. The record is from RNAcentral.